GCGCGAAACCUUCACAAUGCACGAAAGUGUGAUGAGGGUACUCCGAGUGCGCAUACAUUGUAUGUGCUUUUCUGCAGCGUAAAUAGUUGCGGGAAUAAGGGCUGGGCAAGACCGGUGCCAGCCGCCGCGGUAACACCGGCAGCCCUAGUGGUGGCCGCUUUUAUUGGGCCUAAAGCGUCCGUAGCCGGAUAGGCAAGUCUUUGGGUAAAUCCUACGUCUUAAGCGUGGGAAUUCUAAAGAUACUACCUGUCUUGAGGCCGGGAGAGGCUAGAGGUACUCCUGGGGUAGGGGUAAAAUCCUAUAAUCCUGGGGGGACCACCGAUGGCGAAGGCAUCUAGCUGGAACGGGCCUGACGGUGAGGGACGAAACCCAGGGGAGCGAGCCGGAUUAGAUACCCGGGUAGUCCUGGGCGUAAAUGAUGUGGGCUUGGUGUGAGCGCAUCGACGAGGUGCGUUUGUGCCGUAGGGAAGCCGUUAAGCCCACCGCCUGGGGAGUACGGUCGCAAGGCUGAAACU
Molecule: ribosomal RNA, 515 nt
Filed under: uncultured euryarchaeote
Lineage: Archaea; Methanobacteriati; Methanobacteriota
Description: bacterial SSU rRNA
Rfam family: Archaeal small subunit ribosomal RNA
Source: RNAcentral